This 222-nucleotide long non-coding RNA is filed under the name Elaeis guineensis (African oil palm). RNAcentral's name for it is "long non-coding RNA (EGUI_LNC082923)". Lineage: Eukaryota; Viridiplantae; Streptophyta; Magnoliopsida; Arecales; Arecaceae. The record is from RNAcentral.
CUAGAAGAGUUUCAAGCAACACAGUCGUUGAUUUGAUAUGCGAAGUAGAAUAUAUUAGGUAUUCGAUGUUGCGAAAAAAGCUGUUUGAUUGAGAAAGUUCAUCUGUAAAUUUAAAAUGAUUUUCUCAAUCGAAGGUCUAGUUUUACUGUAUUGUGACAGCACUGGUGCCAUCGCUCAAGCCAAAGAACUCAAGUCUCAUCAAAGAAUCAAAUAUAUUAUGCA